CUUCCGCGUGUGCGCACCUGGUCCUGCUUUUCCGGCUGCGCACGAAUCUCUCAGGUGUGGUGGGCAGGCCGGACCUAGAGCGCUGCUUUCAGCGUUUCAUCUCCGAGCAAACUCACAGGCGUCUUUAGAGCUUUCUCAGGCACUCAGUUAUUUGCUCCUCAGAACAGUUUCGGAGAGAGAAGAGGCAGAAAUCACUGAGUGAGACAAAGAUGGCGUCCACCAGCCUUUGUCCUUGGAGGGUACGCCAGCAGGCAUGUGUGUUAAAUCUGAUCUCUGCUCCUCGGACCAACACUCUAAGGUCACCUGAAGCAAAUGCCUCAGCUCUCCAUGGUUCGCCUGUAUUCUGCCGUCCCAUCGGCGAUGACGGCAUCCAGGGGAUAGCGCUUCUUGCGGAUGCUGCGCCCGGAGGAGAUGAGGUCGGCGUAGCCACGCUGGUGGGAGAAAGCGUAGGCCGAGCGCCGCCUGGACACGCCCCGGCGGAACACAUUCUGCCGCCGCUUCCACUGCUCUUCGGCUUUUAACUGCUUUCGGUGCUUCUGAAUCUACGGAAGCGAGAGAGAUGGGAUACUUAGUUCCUUCCUCCAAUUUUUUUACUCUAAAAAAUAACAUUGUGGACUUCCCUGGUGGUGCAGUGGUUGGGAAUCUGCCUGCCAGUGCAGGAGACAUGGGUUCGAUCUCUGGUCUGGGAAGAUCCCACAUGCCACGGAGCAACUAAGCCCGCGUGCCACAACUACUGAGUCUGCGUGCCACAACUGCUGAGUCUGCGUGCCACAACUGCUGAGUCUGCGUGCCACAACUGCUGAAGCCCACACACCUAGAGCCCGUGCUCCGCAACAAGAGAAGCCACCGCAAUGAGAAGCCCGCGCACCACUGCGAGGAGUGGCCCCCGCUCACCACAACUAGAGAAAGCCCGCGUGCAGCAACUAAGACCCAACACAGCCAUAAAUAAAUAAAUAAACAAACAAAAAAAUGGCCUUCUCUCAAACCACUAAAAAAAAAGUUUAAAAUAAAUAAAUAAUAAAAAAACAUUGUAAUAAGCA
Balaenoptera acutorostrata (minke whale) is the source of this 1040-nucleotide long non-coding RNA. RefSeq lists it as uncharacterized. The transcript has 4 exons. Lineage: Eukaryota; Metazoa; Chordata; Mammalia; Artiodactyla; Balaenopteridae. The record is from RefSeq and is a predicted model, not a curated record.